RNAcentral lists this long non-coding RNA (237 nucleotides) under Spirodela polyrhiza (greater duckweed). RNAcentral describes it as "long non-coding RNA (SPOL_LNC000651)". Lineage: Eukaryota; Viridiplantae; Streptophyta; Magnoliopsida; Alismatales; Araceae. The record is from RNAcentral.
UUGCUUCCAUCUCCUAGCCUACUCAUCGGUGGCUGAUGAGAGUGAGUGAGAGUGCGAUCUAGGUCUUAGAAUAGAGAGUUACUGUGGUCUUUUUGCUGUAAAAGGUAACUGCGAUUUAUUUGCUUAUCUUUAGUGGAAACAAAUGGAAGUGUAUGACAAACGUUUCUCAUUGUGUUUCAGGCACAGACAACUAUUUUACCAAAGGAAAUACAUUCAAUAAAAUUCAAUCCAUCUUGC